Equus quagga is the source of this 370-nucleotide long non-coding RNA. RefSeq lists it as uncharacterized. The record is from RefSeq and is a predicted model, not a curated record. The transcript has 3 exons. Lineage: Eukaryota; Metazoa; Chordata; Mammalia; Perissodactyla; Equidae.
CCCAUCUCUUGGCAGGAAGCCUACACGUCCUUCAGUCCUUCAGUCCAGCCUUCUGCCUGCUGCUUCAGACCCAAAACAUCCUGUUUGUCCAGCAGUCAGCUAGGAGCCGGAGCCACGGUGGUGAACAUGCCAUCAGGACGCGGCAAGAAGCAGGAAGGCCAUCACUUGAUGAGGGUCCUUUCCUGCCAGGGAGACCUCGGGUGAAGGAGCUCCUGCUCCUGAAAGGAAAGCCCCCUCAAACUGCCUCCAAGCUCACUUGACAUCUUCCACAGCUACCCCCUGGCCACCGGGAAGUGAGCCACAGGUCUGAACAGCGCAGUUCUGGAGACUGGAAAUCCAAGAUCACGGCGCCAGCACAUUCAUUGUCAGG